RNAcentral lists this ribosomal RNA (306 nucleotides) under Triticum aestivum (bread wheat). Its description in RNAcentral is "partial small subunit ribosomal RNA". The record is from RNAcentral. Lineage: Eukaryota; Viridiplantae; Streptophyta; Magnoliopsida; Poales; Poaceae.
AACCUGAGGAUCAUCCUCAUAGCUGCCAGGAAACAAUAUGUCCUAGAAGGACCGCUAGGUGACGCUCCCGUCCCAGAGAACCAAGACAUUAUGAAUGCUUGGCAGUCUCGCACUGAUGAUUACUCCCUCGUUCAGUGCGGCAUGCUUUACAGCUUAGAACAGGGGCUCCAAAAGCGUUUUGAGCAUCACGGAGCAUAUGAGAUGUUCGAAGAGCUGAAACUAGUUUUUCAAGCUCAUGCCCGGGUCGAGAGAUAUGAUGUCUCCGACAAGUUCUACAGUUGUAAGAUGGAGGAAAACAGUUCUGUC